This 263-nucleotide ribosomal RNA is filed under the name uncultured archaeon. RNAcentral describes it as "partial 16S ribosomal RNA". It matches the Rfam family "Archaeal small subunit ribosomal RNA", at positions 716 to 982 of the family's 1478-position model. The record is from RNAcentral.
AGUCACUGACAUUAGAUACCCGCGUAGUCCAGGGUGUAAACGCUGCAGACUUGGUGUUGGAAGCCCUUUGGGGGCAUUCAGUGCCGGAGAGAAGUUGUUAAGUCUGCUACUUGGGAGUACGUCCGCAAGGAUGAAACUUAAGGAAUUGGCGGGGGGAGCACCGCAACGGGAGGAGCGUGCGGUUUAAUUGGAUUCAACACCGUAAACUCACCAGGGAAGACUGUUACAUGAAGGCCGAGAUGAAGACUCUGCUAGAUUUUCAG